This is a long non-coding RNA of Homo sapiens (human), 2985 nucleotides long. Ensembl annotates it as integrator complex subunit 4 pseudogene 1. Its record names the gene INTS4P1. The record is from Ensembl. Lineage: Eukaryota; Metazoa; Chordata; Mammalia; Primates; Hominidae.
GGGCGGUGGCGGGGGUGAUGCAGCGGCCGCUGAGGGUGGCGCAGGGGCCCCGGCCAGCCCGGGGCUGCAGCAGUGCAGACAGCUCCAGAAGCUCAUCGGCAUCUCCAUUGGCAGCCUGCGCGGGCUGGGCACCAAGUGCGCUGUGUCCAACGACCUCACCGAGCAGGAGAUACGGACCCUGGAGCAUUGUCCCAAUUCCUUCUUCUAAUGAAGAAAUACGCUUAGUUGAUGAUGCGUUUGGAAAAAUUUGUCACAUGGUCAGUGAUGGCUCUUGGGUGGUUCAUGUUCAGGCAGCAAAACUGUUGGGCUCUAUGGAGCAAGUCAGUUCUCAUUUCUUGGAGCAGACCCUUGACAAGAAGCUGAUGUCAGAUCUGAGGAGGAAACGUACUGCACAUGAGCGUGCCAAGGAACUUUACAGUUCAGGGGAGUUUUCCAGUGGCAGAAAGUGGGAAGAUGAUGCUCCCAAGGAAGAAGUAGAUACCGGGGCUGUGAACUUGAUUGAGUCAGGAGCUUGUGGAGCUUUUGUUCAUGGGUUGGAAGAUGAGAUGUAUGAGGUUCGUAUUGCUGCUGUGGAGGCCCUCUGCAUGUUGGCCCAGUCUUCACCCUCUUUUGCUGAGAAGUGCCUUGAUUUCCUAGUUGACAUGUUCAACGAUGAAAUUGAGGAAGUACGUCUGCAGUCCAUACAUACCAUGAGAAAAAUCUCUAACAACAUCACCCUCCGAGAAGAUCAGCUUGACACUGUCCUGGCUGUGCUAGAGGAUUCAUCCAGAGAUAUUCGAGAGGCUCUUCAUGAACUCUUAUGCUGUACUAAUGUUUCAACCAAAGAAGGGAUUCAUCUUGCAUUGGUGGAGCUGCUGAAAAAUUUAACCAAGUACCCUACUGAUAGGGACUCCAUAUGGAAGUGCUUGAAGUUUCUGGGAAGUCGGCAUCCAACCCUGGUGCUUCCCUUGGUGCCAGAGCUUCUGAGCACCCACCCAUUUUUUGACACAGCUGAACCAGACAUGGAUGAUCCAGCUUAUAUUGCAGUUUUGGUACUUAUUUUCAAUGCUGCUAAAACCUGUCCAACAAUGCGAGCAUUGUUCUCAGGCACUAUGCCUACCUCCGAGACAGUCUUUCUCAUCUUGUUCCUGCCUUGAGGUUGCCAGGUAGAAAACUGGUGUCAUCAGCUGUUUCUCCCAGCAUCAUACCUCAAGAGGAUCCUUCGCAGCAGCUCCUGCAGCAGAGCCUUGAAGGAGUGUGUAGUCUUCAGCACUUGGACCCUCAGGGAGCCCAGGAGCUGCUGGAAUUCACCAUCAGGCCUUGCAGGAAAAGUCGUGGAAUGUAGCUGCCCCUUCGUAUUUGAAGCAGAGUGAUUUGGCCUCAGCAGCAGCGAAACAGACUUUACCCCUUAUUUGGGAUGUGUGAAAAAUUUUUACAGGAAGUAGACUUUUUUCAGAGGACACAUGAACCAUUAACAAGAAAAAUAUUUAAAUAAGAAACUCACCAAGCCAGGAGAAUAAUGAAUACCUGGAUGUGCCCCCUAGGAAUCUGGAUCUCUUCUCUUUUCCCCACCCUGCCCUCAACUCCCCUUACAUACAUACAGCCUGGAUCACAAGACCCAAGAAAACCAUUCCACCAGCUGCUGAGAGAAGAGCCACAAAAGGACCCAGAACUUCUCCAUGGCUACCUUAGAGCACCCUAAAAUGUGCUAACAGCCAUUGUUAGCAUUCAGGAGCUGUUUAUUCCCAUUUUCACACUACACUAAAGAAUUUUAAACAAUCACAAGAUAGACUGGCUGGAAGUUGGUGCUUGGAACAUCCCACGUCACCUAAAAGCACAGUGCUGCAAUCUCAGAAACCCCAGGCUCAGCCAGCAGAGAGAGGAGAAGCAGCUGGACAUUGGAGACUAUGAUUGGACAUUAGAGAGAAGGAGCUUGACUUCACAGAGAAAGCAUGAUGGAAUAAUUUCAGAGAAAAGUCUGGCCAGGGAUGACCAGACUUCAGGGGAAGAUAAUCUUGCUCAAUAUCCUUUUCUGCUCCCCUUCCUGCUGAGAGUCACUUUGAUUGGCAAUAAAAUAUCUCACAUUUACCAUCUUCAAUUUGUUCUUGCAACCUCAUUCCUCCUGGAUGCCAGACAAGAACUCAGGUGCCAUGAGUAUGGGUGCAAAAGGCUAUCACACUGUCCCUCCACUGAGCUGUUAACACUUAAGCUAUCCAUGGACAGCAAAGCUAAAAGGGCACUGUAAGAGUCCUUCUGGGGUUUCAGAAGUCAUGAGCAUCCCCCAGAUGCUGCCAUGGGGCCAGUACAGAGUUUGCUCCUGCCAGAGUCCAAAAAUGUCUCAGCUCCUGCACCCAGUCACCUGCAUGCUCCCCCUCCCACAAGUGGUGGAGCACAGUGGGCUGAGUGAGUGGAGUUUGCCCCUGCCAGCACCCGUGCACUCCAGUUCCCACCUGUGAAGGUGUCAGAGAGAUAUUCUGCUUAAAAAUCAGAGUGACUCCAUCUUAAAUAGCAGCUGGGUGAGAUAAGGCUGAGACCUACUGGGCUGCAUUCCCAGGAGGUUAGGCAUUCUAACCUUCUAUCAGGAUGAGAUAGAAGGCCAGCAUAAGAUAUAGGUCACGAAGACUCUGCUGAUAAAACAGGAUGUGGUUUAAAUAAAUGCCAGCCAGAACCCACCAAAACCAAGAUGGUGAUGCUCAUUCUCACUGCUCAUUAUAUGCCAGUAUAAUGCAUUUGCAUGCAAAAAGACUCUACCACCAGUGCCAUGACAGCUUACAGAUGCCAUGGCAAGAUCUGGAAGUUACCCUGUAGCCUCUAAAAUGGGGAAGAACCCUCAGUUCUGGAAAAUUUCUGCCCCUUUCCUGAAAAACUCAUGAAUAAUCUACCCUUUGUUUAGCAUAUAAUCAAGAAACAACUAUAAGUAUAGUCAAUCGAGCAGCCAAUCUCACCGCUCUGUCUAUGGAGUAGUCAUUCUUUUAUUUACAUCUCUAAUAAAAUUGCUUUCACUUU